UACCUGCAGCUCAAGUGGUGGCCGUUAUUAUUGGGCCUAAAACGUCCGUAGCCGGUUUAUUAAAUGCCUGGGUAAAUCGGGCCGCUUAACGGUUCGAAUUCCGGGUAGACUGAUAGACUUGGGACCGGGAGAGGCUAGAGGUACUCCUGGGGUAGAGGUGAAAUUCUGUAAUCCUAGGGGGACCACCAGUGGCGAAAGCGUCUAGCUAGAACGGGUCUGACGGUGAGGGACGAAGCCCUGGGGCGCAAACCGGAUUAGAUACCCGGGUAGUCCAGGGUGUAAACGCUGCUUGCUUGAUGUUAGUCGGGCUACGAGCCCGAUUAGUGUCGGAGGGAAGUUGUUAAGCAAGCUGCCUGGGAAGUACGGCCGCAAGACUGAAACUUAAAGGAAUUGGCGGGGGAGCACAGCAACGGGUGGAGCGUGCGGUUU
RNAcentral lists this ribosomal RNA (429 nucleotides) under uncultured archaeon. Its description in RNAcentral is "bacterial SSU rRNA". It matches the Rfam family "Archaeal small subunit ribosomal RNA", at positions 474 to 903 of the family's 1478-position model. The record is from RNAcentral.